GAAUCUGCCUUUUGGUCGGGGACAACCACUGGAAACGGUGGCUAAUACCGGAUAAGCCUGCGGGUAAAAGAUUAAUUGCCAAGAGAGGAGCUCGCGUCUGAUUAGCUAGUUGGUGAGGUAAAGGCUCACCAAGGCGGCGAUCAGUAGCUGGUCUGAGAGGAUGAUCAGCCACACUGGGACUGAGACACGGCCCAGACUCCUACGGGAGGCAGCAGUGGGGAAUUUUCCGCAAUGGGCGAAAGCCUGACGGAGCAAGACCGCGUGAGGGAGGAAGGCUCUUGGGUUGUAAACCUCUUUUGUCAGGGAAGAACACAAUGACGGUACCUGAAGAAUCAGCAUCGGCUAACUCCGUGCCAGCAGCCGCGGUAAUACGGAGGAUGCAAGCGUUAUCCGGAAUUAUUGGGCGUAAAGCGUCCGCAGGUGGCACUUCAAGUCUGCUGUCAAAGACCGGGGCUUAACCCUGGAAAGGCAGUGGAAACUGAAGCGCUAGAGUGUGGCAGGGGUAGAGGGAAUUCCCGGUGUAGCGGUGAAAUGCGUAGAGAUCGGGAAGAACAUCGGUGGCGAAAGCGCUCUACUGGGCCACAACUGACACUCAGGGACGAAAGCUAGGGGAGCG
This 616-nucleotide ribosomal RNA is filed under the name uncultured cyanobacterium. RNAcentral describes it as "bacterial SSU rRNA". It matches the Rfam family "Bacterial small subunit ribosomal RNA", at positions 122 to 770 of the family's 1533-position model. The record is from RNAcentral. Lineage: Bacteria; Bacillati; Cyanobacteriota.